GCCUUCGAGGUGUAGCGGUCAGCAUGCUGGGCGCGUAUUCCAGAGGACCGUGGUUCGAAUCCUGGCGAGGGCA
Stegodyphus mimosarum is the source of this 73-nucleotide non-coding RNA. NCBI's taxonomy places the organism in Eukaryota, Metazoa, Arthropoda, Arachnida, Araneae, Eresidae. The record is from Rfam.